RNAcentral lists this transfer RNA (66 nucleotides) under Oxyeleotris lineolata (sleepy cod). RNAcentral describes it as "tRNA-Cys". Lineage: Eukaryota; Metazoa; Chordata; Actinopteri; Gobiiformes; Eleotridae. The record is from RNAcentral.
AGCCUCGAGGUGUGUUACACAUUAGAUUGCAAAUCUUAAGUGGCAGAAUAACGUCUGCCGGGGCUU